Molecule: long non-coding RNA, 1019 nt
Filed under: Gallus gallus (chicken)
Lineage: Eukaryota; Metazoa; Chordata; Aves; Galliformes; Phasianidae
Description: lncRNA (ENSGALG00010000774.1)
Source: RNAcentral
GGGGAAGUGAGUCAGGGCGAGGUGAAACGACGCGGGGAGGGGCGGGGCGAGGUGAGGCUAAGAGUGGCGGGGUGAUGCGGGGCGAGGUGAGGCGAGGCGAGAAGAGGCGGGGCGAGAAGAGGCGGCGUGGUGCGGGGUGGGGUGGGGCGAGGCGAGACUAGAUGGUGCGAGGCGAGGCGAGGCACGGUGACACGGGGCGAGGUUUGAUGAGGCGAGGCAGAGCAGGAGGAAGCGAGGCGGGGCGAGGCGAGGCAAGGUGUGGCGAGACGGGGCCAGGCAUGGUGAGGUGGGGUGAGGCGAAGCGAUUCGGGGCGGGGCGAGACAGGGUGAGGUUGUGUGAGGCGGGGUGAGGCGAGGUGCGGUGGGACGGGGCGGGGAGAGGUUGAACGAGGCGGGGCGGGGCUAGGUGAGGUGGGGCGAGGUUAGGCGUGGCGGGGUGAGGCGGGGCGAGUCGGGGCGAGGCGAGUUGUGGCAGACAAAGCGAGGCGGGGCAAACAGAAGCAAGGCGGCGCGAGGCGAAGGGAGGCAGGGUCGGGCAUGGCAUGGCAGGCGAGGCGGGGCGGGGCGAGGGGAAGUGAGGCGGGGCGAGGCGAGGCAAGGCGGGGCGAGGCAAGGCAGGGCAAUGCGAGGCGGAGCGAGGCGGGGCGGGGCGAGGUUAGGAGUGGUGGGGUGAGGCAGGGUGAGGCGAGGAAAAGCGAGGCGGGGCGAGGAGAGGGGAAGCGAGGCGGGGUGAGGCGAGGGGAAGUGAAGUGGGGCAAGGCUAGGCGAGGUGAGGUGUGGCAGGCGAGGCGAGGCGGGGCGAGACGGGGUAAGGUUGGACGAGGCGGAACAGGGCGUGGCGAGGCGGGUCGUGGCUAGGUGUGGCGGGGUGAGGCAGAGUGAGGCUAGGUGAGGCGGGGCAAGGCAAGGUGGGGAGAGGCGUGGUAGGGCGAGGCAUGGCGAGGCAAGGCGAGGUGAGGCAAUGCAAGGGGGGCUAGGCAAGGUGAGGCGAGGUGGGGCAGGACGAGAUGAGGCUGGAC